Molecule: long non-coding RNA, 687 nt
Filed under: Homo sapiens (human)
Lineage: Eukaryota; Metazoa; Chordata; Mammalia; Primates; Hominidae
Description: HSALNT0178850
Source: RNAcentral
UUUCUUAAUGGCAACCAGGGAAAAUAGACACUAAUACUGCCCCCACUGUAUACAAAAUUCAAGAUCUUUUAACAAUGCUAAAAGGAGCUAUUGUGUGCCUCACACCACUGUGAGUUAUACCAUAAAUAUUCAUUAAAACAGAAGUCUGGAAGCAUAUGCUGCUUUUACAAAUAAUGAGGCAGAAAGCAAUCAGAGGGCUGCUUAGAUGAGGUCACAGGGAGCAUACUGCACUGAGGAGGCAGAGGAGACAGGUCUUCCAAGGUAUCCUAAGGAAGUCACAGCUUGUGUCUUCUACCAUGUACAAACCAGAGGCUAAAGGACUUUGCAGUUUCACAGUUGGAAUCUGCAGCUUUUCUUAUGUGCAGCGGAGACUCGCAGUGUAUUUGGAGUAACUGCUGAGAACUCAAUGUAUGACAUCUCCUAAUUAAAGACCACCACCAAGUUAGGGAUCACUGGAAGCAGUUCUGGAGGCUGGGAAGUUCAAGAUCAAGGUGCAGGCUUCUGGCAAGGACCUUCUUGCUCCAUCAUAACAUGGUAUACCCUGGUAGUCUAUCUUGGCUUUAAUGCUGAGUAACUUCAAGAGACAAUGACCACUGGAAUUGCCACCACUCAGACAUCAUCAAGAAGACAUAUGUUUUAUUCUUAAUUGAGUGGUAUGGAUUAUUUUUCUUUUCAGUAUUACUGGAA